This is a long non-coding RNA of Quercus lobata, 588 nucleotides long. RefSeq lists it as uncharacterized. The record is from RefSeq and is a predicted model, not a curated record. Lineage: Eukaryota; Viridiplantae; Streptophyta; Magnoliopsida; Fagales; Fagaceae. The transcript is spliced from 3 exons.
CAUCCCUUUCUUUUUCUUCUUUUUCAUUUUUUCUCUCAAAAACUUCUCCUCUCACUCCCCCAUCCUCUCCCACCGAUGCCACUCCACACCACCAUCUCCACAAUCAUUUUUCGACUAGAACAUGGGAAAAACUUCUUAGGAACCUUAGCAUCUUCAUCCCUUUUAUUUAAGGUUCUAGCUAAUCUCAUUUGGAGCUUGGAGAGUUAGGCUUUUUGCGUUGCAAGAUCAGUGCCCUUUCACUUUGGAUGACGCGGUCUUCCUUACUGCCUAUGGGGGGAAGAGGUUCCUCGAUUGUGUGUGGGUGAGGCUACUGCCCAUGGGGCCAAAAGACCACGUACAAAAAAUGUCAUAUUUGACGCAUUCUUCCUGCUACCCAUAGGGGGGAGAGAAAAAACCUUGAGGGUAUGGGUGAGACUACUACCCAUGGGGCCAAGAGACUAUAUACCAGAGGACAAUAUCAUGCCAGUUGUGAAUGGGUGGAUCCCUUGACCGGUCUAUGUGAUAUUGUGGUUUCUUUGUGAUAAUUUACCUUAUGUUAGAUAUUUUAUGGCUUUGGAAAUUAGAUUGUUAGUGCUCACAGAUUAUAGU